This 832-nucleotide ribosomal RNA is filed under the name uncultured bacterium. Its description in RNAcentral is "bacterial SSU rRNA". It matches the Rfam family "Bacterial small subunit ribosomal RNA", at positions 655 to 1498 of the family's 1533-position model. The record is from RNAcentral.
AGGUAGGCGGAAUGUGUAGUGUAGCGGUGAAAUGCUUAGAUAUUACACAGAACACCGAUUGCGUAGGCAGCUUACUAGCGGUUUACUGACGCUGAUGCACGAAAGCGUGGGGAUCAAACAGGAUUAGAUACCCUGGUAGUCCACGCCGUAAACGAUGAUAACUCGCUGUUGGCGAUACACAGUCAGCGGCUUAGCGAAAGCGUUAAGUUAUCCACCUGGGGAGUACGCUCGCAAGAGUGAAACUCAAAGGAAUUGACGGGGGCCCGCACAAGCGGAGGAACAUGUGGUUUAAUUCGAUGAUACGCGAGGAACCUUACCUGGGCUUAAAUGUGAGACGACCGCCGAAGAAAUUUGGCUUUCCGCAAGGACGACUUACAAGGUGCUGCAUGGUUGUCGUCAGCUCGUGCCGUGAGGUGUCGGGUUAAGUCCCAUAACGAGCGCAACCCUUAUGAUUAGUUGCUAACAGGUCAAGCUGAGGACUCUAGUCAGACUGCCACCGUAAGGUGUGAGGAAGGUGGGGAUGACGUCAAAUCAGCACGGCCCUUAUGUCCAGGGCUACACACGUGUUACAAUGGCCGAUACAGAGGGCAGCUACCCCGCGAGGGGCCGCUAAUCCGGAAAAGUCGGUCUCAGUUCGGAUCGGAGUCUGCAACCCGACUCCGUGAAGCUGGAUUCGCUAGUAAUCGCAUAUCAGCCAUGAUGCGGUGAAUACGUUCCCGGGCCUUGUACACACCGCCCGUCAAACCAUGGGAGCCGAGGGUACCUGAAGUCUGUGACCGCAAGGAGCGGCCUAGGGUAAAAUUGGUGACUAGGGUUAUGUCGUAACAAGGUA